UCUUGCAGUGAAAGAAUCCCAACUUCUUGUGUUUUUCACCAUGCCAUUUCUCGUUUUACAGUUGGAGAAGCUGAAGUAGGAGUAGGAUUGUAAAUUGCUCUAGCCCGAAAAGUGAGUGGAAGUCAGAACCAGAACUAACAUUGCUGCCCUUAACACUGCUGCCCUUAAACUGAAGUGUCUCACAGUCGUUCAGAGUAACUGUUUCUUGUGAACCUGGCUGGCAAUUAAAAUGAAAGUAUCUGAGUGACAAAGGAAGGGGAGAGAAGUCAGGGGCUGCUGUGGGAAAAACAUGAAUGCAUUCAGUAGCUGCACAAAGUAUAUAGUGGAAUACUGCCAGACCAGCCAGUCAGCUCUUCACUUGUUGCAGCUCUGCAUCUGUGAUGGUCUUCAUCUGUCCGUGUUUAGACAACUAAAUUUUCUACAGCCUAGAGGCACACAUUGGGACUGA
RNAcentral lists this long non-coding RNA (448 nucleotides) under Anser brachyrhynchus (Pink-footed goose). Its description in RNAcentral is "lncRNA (ENSABRG00000006031.1)". Lineage: Eukaryota; Metazoa; Chordata; Aves; Anseriformes; Anatidae. The record is from RNAcentral.